This 718-nucleotide ribosomal RNA is filed under the name uncultured Bacteroidales bacterium. RNAcentral describes it as "bacterial SSU rRNA". It matches the Rfam family "Bacterial small subunit ribosomal RNA", at positions 49 to 756 of the family's 1533-position model. The record is from RNAcentral. Lineage: Bacteria; Pseudomonadati; Bacteroidota; Bacteroidia; Bacteroidales.
UAACACAUGCAAGUCGAGGGGCAGCAUGGUCUUAGCUUGCUAAGACUGAUGGCGACCGGCGCACGGGUGAGUAACACGUAUCCAACCUGCCGUCUACUCUUGGACAGCCUUCUGAAAGGAAGAUUAAUACAAGAUGGCAUCAUGAGUCCGCAUGUUCACAUGAUUAAAGGUAUUCCGGUAGACGAUGGGGAUGCGUUCCAUUAGAUAGUAGGCGGGGUAACGGCCCACCUAGUCUUCGAUGGAUAGGGGUUCUGAGAGGAAGAUCCCCCACAUUGGAACUGAGACACGGUCCAAACUCCUACGGGAGGCAGCAGUGAGGAAUAUUGGUCAAUGGGCGAGAGCCUGAACCAGCCAAGUAGCGUGAAGGAUGACUGCCCUAUGGGUUGUAAACUUCUUUUAUAAAGGAAUAAAGUCGGGUAUGGAUACCCGUUUGCAUGUACUUUAUGAAUAAGGAUCGGCUAACUCCGUGCCAGCAGCCGCGGUAAUACGGAGGAUCCGAGCGUUAUCCGGAUUUAUUGGGUUUAAAGGGAGCGUAGAUGGAUGUUUAAGUCAGUUGUGAAAGUUUGCGGCUCAACCGUAAAAUUGCAGUUGAUACUGGAUAUCUUGAGUGCAGUUGAGGCAGGCGGAAUUCGUGGUGUAGCGGUGAAAUGCUUAGAUAUCACGAAGAACUCCGAUUGCGAAGGCAGCCUGCUAAGCUGCAACUGACAUUGAGGCUCGA